GAUGAACGCUGGCGGCGUGCCUAAUACAUGCAAGUCGAGCGAACGGACGAGAAGCUUGCUUCUCUGAUGUUAGCGGCGGAAGGGUGAGUAACACGUGGAUAACCUACCUAUAAGACUGGGAUAACUUCGGGAAACCGGAGCUAAUACCGGAUGAUAUUUUGAACCGCAUGGUUCAAAAGUGAAAGACGGUCUUGCUGUCACUUAUAGAUGGAUCCGCGCUGCAUUAGCUAGUUGGUAAGGUAACGGGUUACCAAGGCAACGGUGCCUAGCCGACCUGAGCGGAUGACGACCCCCACUGGAACUGUGACACGGUCCGGACUCCUAGCGGAGGAUGCUGUAGUGAAUCUUCCGCAAUGACGGGAUGCCUGCCGGAGCCACGCCGAUUGAGUGAUGAAGGUCUUCGGAUCGUAAACCUCUGUUAUUAGGGACGAACAUAUGUGUAAGUAACUGUGCACAUCUUGACGGUACCUAAUCAGAAAGCCACGGCUAACUACGUG
RNAcentral lists this ribosomal RNA (497 nucleotides) under uncultured bacterium. RNAcentral describes it as "partial 16S ribosomal RNA". It matches the Rfam family "Bacterial small subunit ribosomal RNA", at positions 28 to 507 of the family's 1533-position model. The record is from RNAcentral.